GUAGGUGGAGUGUGAGGAGGAGAUCUGAGCCCGUGUGUGGACCCAGGUCUGCUGUUACACUGACUAACCCCCACUCUACAG
MicroRNA precursor from Chlorocebus sabaeus (green monkey), 81 nucleotides. The record is from Ensembl. NCBI's taxonomy places the organism in Eukaryota, Metazoa, Chordata, Mammalia, Primates, Cercopithecidae.